AUACGUUCCCUUCCUUUCGGACAUUUUUUUCAAAGGUUGCCUGCAUGGUUGUCGUCAGCUCCGUGCCCGUGAGGUGCUAUGGUUAAGUCCUGCACACGAGCGCAACUCCUGUCCCUAGUUGCUACAUUAACGUUGAGGACUCUAAGUGAGACUUGCCUACGCAAGUAGAGAUGGAAGGUGGGGAUGACGUCAAAUCAUCACGGCCCUUACGUCUGGCCACACACGUGCUACAAUGGCCGGUACAGAGGGGCAGCUACCUAGGUGAUAGGAGUCGCAAAUCUCGAAAUGCCCGGUCUCACGUUCGGAUUGGAGUCUUGCAACUCCGACUCUAUGAAGCUCGGAAUCGCUAGUAAUUCUGCGCAUCAGCCAUGGCGCUGGUGAAUACGUUGCCCUGGGCCUUGUACACACCGCCCGUCAAGCCAUUGGAAUGCUUGGGGGAGCCAAAAAUUCUUGUUCCUGAAAAGGAUAAGCCUACGGGAAAAUCACGUCAGC
Molecule: ribosomal RNA, 492 nt
Filed under: uncultured bacterium
Lineage: Bacteria
Description: bacterial SSU rRNA
Rfam family: Bacterial small subunit ribosomal RNA
Source: RNAcentral